This 446-nucleotide ribosomal RNA is filed under the name uncultured bacterium. RNAcentral's name for it is "partial 16S ribosomal RNA". It matches the Rfam family "Bacterial small subunit ribosomal RNA", at positions 338 to 795 of the family's 1533-position model. The record is from RNAcentral.
CCUACGGGAGGCAGCAGUCGAGAAUCAUUCACAAUGGGGGAAACCCUGAUGGUGCGACGCCGCGUGGGGGAAUGAAGGUCUUCGGAUUGUAAACCCCUGUCAUGUGGGAGCGAAUUAAAAAGAUAGUACCACAAGAGGAAGAGACGGCUAACUCUGUGCCAGCAGCCGCGGUAAUACAGAGGUCUCAAGCGUUGUUCGGAAUCACUGGGCGUAAGGCGUGCGUAGGCUGUUUCGUAAGUCGGGUGUGAAAGGCGCGGGCUCAACCCGCGGACGGCACAUGAUACUGCGAGACUAGAGUAAUGGAGGGGGAACCGGAAUUCUCGGUGUAGCAGUGAAAUGCGUAGAUAUCGAGAGGAACACUCGUGGCGAAGGCGGGUUCCUGGACAUUAACUGACGCUGAGGCACGAAGGCCAGGGGAGCGAAAGGGAUUAGAUACCCGGGUAGUC